RNAcentral lists this ribosomal RNA (1555 nucleotides) under Escherichia coli. RNAcentral describes it as "partial 23S ribosomal RNA". It matches the Rfam family "Bacterial large subunit ribosomal RNA", at positions 1258 to 2798 of the family's 2925-position model. The record is from RNAcentral. Lineage: Bacteria; Pseudomonadati; Pseudomonadota; Gammaproteobacteria; Enterobacterales; Enterobacteriaceae.
GUACUGUGAGGUAUGCUGGAGGUAUCAGAAGUGCGAAUGCUGACAUAAGUAACGAUAAAGCGGGUGAAAAGCCCGCUCGCCGGAAGACCAAGGGUUCCUGUCCAACGUUAAUCGGGGCAGGGUGAGUCGACCCCUAAGGCGAGGCCGAAAGGCGUAGUCGAUGGGAAACAGGUUAAUAUUCCUGUACUUGGUGUUACUGCGAAGGGGGGACGGAGAAGGCUAUGUUGGCCGGGCGACGGUUGUCCCGGUUUAAGCGUGUAGGCUGGUUUUCCAGGCAAAUCCGGAAAAUCAAGGCUGAGGCGUGAUGACGAGGCACUACGGUGCUGAAGCAACAAAUGCCCUGCUUCCAGGAAAAGCCUCUAAGCAUCAGGUAACAUCAAAUCGUACCCCAAACCGACACAGGUGGUCAGGUAGAGAAUACCAAGGCGCUUGAGAGAACUCGGGUGAAGGAACUAGGCAAAAUGGUGCCGUAACUUCGGGAGAAGGCACGCUGAUAUGUAGGUGAAGUCCCUCGCGGAUGGAGCUGAAAUCAGUCGAAGAUACCAGCUGGCUGCAACUGUUUAUUAAAAACACAGCACUGUGCAAACACGAAAGUGGACGUAUACGGUGUGACGCCUGCCCGGUGCCGGAAGGUUAAUUGAUGGGGUCAGCGCAAGCGAAGCUCUUGAUCGAAGCCCCGGUAAACGGCGGCCGUAACUAUAACGGUCCUAAGGUAGCGAAAUUCCUUGUCGGGUAAGUUCCGACCUGCACGAAUGGCGUAAUGAUGGCCAGGCUGUCUCCACCCGAGACUCAGUGAAAUUGAACUCGCUGUGAAGAUGCAGUGUACCCGCGGCAAGACGGAAAGACCCCGUGAACCUUUACUAUAGCUUGACACUGAACAUUGAGCCUUGAUGUGUAGGAUAGGUGGGAGGCUUGGAAGUGUGGACGCCAGUCUGCAUGGAGCCGACCUUGAAAUACCACCCUUUAAUGUUUGAUGUUCUAACGUUGACCCGUAAUCCGGGUUGCGGACAGUGUCUGGUGGGUAGUUUGACUGGGGCGGUCUCCUCCUAAAGAGUAACGGAGGAGCACGAAGGUUGGCUAAUCCUGGUCGGACAUCAGGAGGUUAGUGCAAUGGCAUAAGCCAGCUUGACUGCGAGCGUGACGGCGCGAGCAGGUGCGAAAGCAGGUCAUAGUGAUCCGGUGGUUCUGAAUGGAAGGGCCAUCGCUCAACGGAUAAAAGGUACUCCGGGGAUAACAGGCUGAUACCGCCCAAGAGUUCAUAUCGACGGCGGUGUUUGGCACCUCGAUGUCGGCUCAUCACAUCCUGGGGCUGAAGUAGGUCCCAAGGGUAUGGCUGUUCGCCAUUUAAAGUGGUACGCGAGCUGGGUUUAGAACGUCGUGAGACAGUUCGGUCCCUAUCUGCCGUGGGCGCUGGAGAACUGAGGGGGGCUGCUCCUAGUACGAGAGGACCGGAGUGGACGCAUCACUGGUGUUCGGGUUGUCAUGCCAAUGGCACUGCCCGGUAGCUAAAUGCGGAAGAGAUAAGUGCUGAAAGCAUCUAAGCACGAAACUUGCC